CCUACGUGCAGCAGCAGUGAGGAAUAUUGGUCAAUGGACGGAAGUCUGAACCAGCCAUGCCGCGUGCAGGAAGACGGCUCUAUGAGUUGUAAACCGCUUUUGUAUAAGGGUAAACCUAAAUACGUGUAUUCAGCUGAAAGUACUGUACGAAUAAGGAUCGGAUAACUCCGGUCCAGCAGCCGCGGUAAUACGGAGGCUCCAAGCGUUGUCCGGAUUUAUUGGGUUUAAAGGGUGCGUAGGCGGAUUGAUAAGUUAGAGGUGAAAUGUGCGGGCUCAACUCGGGAACUGACUCUAAUACUGUUGAUCUAGAGAGUAGAUGCGGUAGGCGGAAUGUAUGGUGUAGCAGUGAAAUGCGUAGAGAUCAUACAGAACACCGAGGGCGAAGGCAGCUUACCAAUCUAUAUCUGACGUUGAGGCACGAAAGCGUGGGGAGCAAACAGGAUUAGAUACCCCUGUAGUC
RNAcentral lists this ribosomal RNA (460 nucleotides) under uncultured bacterium. RNAcentral's name for it is "partial 16S ribosomal RNA". It matches the Rfam family "Bacterial small subunit ribosomal RNA", at positions 338 to 795 of the family's 1533-position model. The record is from RNAcentral.